CACAUCUGCGCCCGGCGCUGGCGCCGUCGGGCCGGUCGCUGCCGGUGACGUGCCGGGCGGGGCGGAAGGGAACGGAACGGAACGGAACGCUGUGCCGUGCUGUGCCUUGGGGGUGCAGGUGCCGGCGGUGGCAGCGCGCAGCGCCGGGCCAUGGCGGUGAACUACAGCGCGAAGGAUGAGGCGGACGGGCACCCCUCCGGCGGCGUGGGGGUGCCGGGCGGUAGCGCUCCGGGCGGCGGCGGCGCGGUGAAGACACGCAAGCCCGAUAACACGGCGUUCAAGCAGCAGCGACUACCGGCCUGGCAGCCCAUCCUGACGGCGGGCACGGUGCUGCCGGCCUUCUUCAUCAUCGGCCUCAUCUUCAUCCCCAUCGGCAUCGGCAUAUUCGUCACCUCCAACAACAUCCGCGAGUACGAGAUUGACUAUACGGGAACAGAGCCUUCUAGUCCCUGCAACAAAUGUUUAAAUGUGUCCUGGGACAGCACACCACCUUGUACAUGCACCAUCAAUUUCACACUGGAACAUUCAUUUGAGAGCAACGUAUUCAUGUAUUACGGACUUUCAAACUUCUAUCAAAACCAUCGUCGUUACGUGAAAUCUCGAGAUGACAGCCAACUAAAUGGAGAUAACAGUUCACUGCUGAACCCAAGUAAGGAGUGCGAGCCUUACCGUACAAAUGAGGACAAACCCAUUGCUCCUUGUGGAGCUAUUGCCAACAGUAUGUUUAAUGAUACGUUGGAAUUAUACCGCAUUGAGAAUGACACAAGGACUCCUAUUACUUUGAUUAAAAAAGGUAUUGCAUGGUGGACAGAUAAAAAUGUAAAGUUCAGGAAUCCCACAGGAGAUGGAAAUAACUUAACUGCGCUUUUCCAAGGCACAACAAAACCUAUAAACUGGCCCAAGCCAGUGUACAUGCUGGACUCGGAGCCUGACAACAACGGCUUUAUCAACGAGGACUUCAUCGUGUGGAUGCGCACGGCCGCGCUGCCCACCUUUCGCAAGCUCUACCGUCUCAUUGAGAGGAAGAACAACUUGCAGCCUACCUUACAGGCUGGGAAAUAUUCUUUGGAUAUCGCAUACAAUUAUCCUGUACACAGUUUUGACGGACGAAAAAGAAUGAUCCUAAGCACCAUUUCAUGGAUGGGAGGCAAAAAUCCCUUUCUGGGAAUUGCUUACAUCACCGUUGGGUCCAUAUGCUUCUUCUUAGGAGUUGUGUUGCUGAUCAUCCAUCACAAAUACGGAAAUCGAAACACCAGUGCAGACAUUCCCAAUUAAUCUUGCAUUUUGAAAACAAGUGUACUGCAUGUGCAUCAAGGCCAGUCCAGAACAGACCCAGGUUUUGAAAGAUAAAUCUCUGCUUCUGUCACUUCUGAGACUGGGUACAUACUUUUACCUAAAAAGUCCCCUUUCCCGUUCUGUGGAUUAACUCAAAAAUGACAGAAAUCUCUGGGAAGGAAGACCAUGACAAUCUAUGGUCAAGUAACAUCUGCAAGCAUAUCUAUCUGAUUGAAUCCAUCCCCUGGAGCCAUGAACAUGGCUGGUGUUUGGAUUGGGUUGACAGGAGGCGUUACUGACCACACCUUUCUCUCCAAUGUCCUACUUGCACUGGUAUAGUAAGUGGUUACUUGCACUGGUUACUUGUUUUCUGUAUGUCUACAGACAGAUAAGUUCAAGGCUGAGUUGAAGUAAGUAUAUAAUAGAAAAAUGUGACUAAGUCUAAAGCAGAAUGUACCCGGUGAUGUGAAAGGUUACUGAUUGGAACACAACUGCUGAAGACAAAGAACAAGGCAUAACCAUAGUCUAGAAGCUCUGCAAGUGAUUCUGAUCUGACCCCUCUGACAAGAAAAUACGGUUUCUGAUCUUGCUUGAAAGUUUGUGAUCUACCCUUGGUACUACAUAAUUUUGGUUUAUAAAAAAAGUUCAGCAUUUGUGUUACUUGAUGUUGUUCCCUGUAACUGAACUAACUGAAGGGAGCAACAGUACAAAGGCCUUCAGGAAGGAGAGCAACAUCGAGCUUCAAAUAAAGCCAGUCCCUUGAGGAUUUUGUAUUGACCUAGUCACCAAGUUUAAAAAAAGAACCCCUCCCUGGUCAGUGUUCCGCCUAUCACAUACUUGUCUAUUGAACAGCCUGCCAACAAUUCUCACUUUUGAACUAGGAGAAAAAGCCAUGAACAUAUAUGCCAAUUUUAUUGCUGAUCUUUUAGCAAUGUGGAUGGUUUAUGGCAGAAGCUCUUCUAGCAGCGUGAGAAUGGGCUCUGACGUGGAAAGCCCUGGUGAAAAAAGUGCUUUUUAAUUUUUUCUUUCUUUUUGCACUAGUAGCAGCAGUAUCAAAUUUUCCUCAGAUCAGCAGAAGUAUUUUCAUAUAAAAACACCCUAUGUUCCAGCUCACGGAAUCUGUUCUGAUCACUGUGUUGCCUUCUGUAGGCCUUACUGUGAAGUCUAAUCUUACUUGACAGUUUCAAUUAAGACUAAAGUCCAUCACAAAAUGGCCUGAUAAGAAUUAGCAGGUCCUUAUAUGACCCGUGACUCAAAUAAGAAACUACCUCCUGUAAGCCUCCUGUUCCAAACAUGCUCAGCCUUCAUUUGAAACUAAAAGUAAUGCUGUUCACUGAAUCACAGAAUGGUAGGGAUUGGAAGGGACCUUUAGAGAUCAUCUAGUCCAACUCCCCUGCCAAAGUAGGUCCAACUAAAUCAGGUCACACAGGAACGUGUCCAGGCGGGCUUGUAGACCUCCAAGGAAGGAGACUCCACACCCUCCCUGGGCAGUCAAUAAUUAGUGAAGUUGAAGAAGUUAAAAAAAUAUUUGAACAGAAGUAGAUGGAAUUAUUUUCCAGCAGACUGAUUUCAGGGAAAGAUGACAGAGGAAACAAUGCAAGCAAGCUGAGUACCAGAGCUAUGGAGAAAUGUAAUUGAAUUUGUGUUUGAGGAUUGUGCUCAAGUUUUGCUAAAUAAAAUGGUGAGAUGUUGUAAGUUGUAUUGGAGAGCCAGGAAUGUAAUCAAUGACCUCAUUAACUCUGGUAUGAAUGUGGGAGAGAUUGAUGUUCAUGGACGGAUGAAUUCCUGUGAGAUCUACUCUAGGUGGUCCUGCUCUGGCAGGACUGCAUGAUCUAUGAAGGUCCCUUCCAGCCCUUGAGAUUCUGUGAAAGAAACGAUUGUCUGCAGGCUCGCCUGCUGAGCUCUGGAGUUACAUGGUUGAAGUUACUGUAUGCUACACAAUAGAUGCCUGUAAACUUCAGAACAAACCUUUGUUCUGUCAGCAGCUUCUUUCAGUGCAAUUUUAGUGUAUUGCACAACUCUAACAUGGAAAAUGGUUAUACUAAGAAUACAGUGUGUUUUCUCUCUUCAUAUACAAUGUAGUUUUUAACUGGUUUAGUCAAUUAUUUUGUUUGCAAGAAAAAAAUAAACCAGUAUGCAAGCAAGAUGGGAGGAGGUUUUAACACUUGUCAUUUUCAGCCAUCCUGCUGCACCAGGAGUUUCUGCUUCCCCAGCUGGAUUGAAUGGUAACACAGUUGUUUGUGUCUUCUCUUUAGCAAGGUUUACACAACCUUCUAUUAUUGGUUUUAAACGUAUAAAAAAACUUCUGGGUUUUUCUGACUGCUUAUUAACAUACAUAUUAACAGCCCUGGUUUCAUUCUGGCUCCAGCAAAACUAUUUAACAGUGACUUUUCAUUAACAAUUUUAUUAUUCUUUGAUACAGUAUAUGCAGAAGUUACCCUGUCCAGCUAGGAAAAAACAGUCAGGGUUUGCUUCUAGUGAAAUAUUCUCACCCUGAGGUGCUUUCAUUUCUUUGUAAAUUAGUCAACAGUGAAGACACUGAAGCUCAGAUUCAGACAUACAGGGAAAUGGUCCACACAGCAGAAAUGAAACAGAGUAACGGGUACCUCUGCUAGUAGUGGAAUCUGAAGCACUGGGCAGGUGCACAUUUUUGGUUUUGGAGUUUUUCUUCUGCGUGUAGUGGCUCAACCAAAGGGGUGCCAAAU
Colius striatus (speckled mousebird) is the source of this 3980-nucleotide RNA transcript. It is a transcript of the gene named transmembrane protein 30A, with no coding region annotated. The transcript has 9 exons. Lineage: Eukaryota; Metazoa; Chordata; Aves; Coliiformes; Coliidae. The record is from RefSeq and is a predicted model, not a curated record.